CAGUGGCAAGGUUAACCGAAUAGGGAAGCCGUAGAGAAAUCGAGUCCGAAUAGGGCGUUCAGUCGCUGGGUGUAGACCCGAAACCAAGUGAUCUAUCCAUGGCCAGGAUGAAGGUACCGUAACAGGUGCUGGAGGUCCGAACCGACUAGUGUUGCAAAACUAGCGGAUGAGCUGUGGAUAGGGGUGAAAGGCUAAACAAACUUGGAAAUAGCUGGUUCUCUCCGAAAACUAUUUAGGUAGUGCCUCAAGUAUUACCAUCGGGGGUAGAGCACUGUUUAGGCUAGGGGGUCAUGGCGACUUACCAAACCUUGGCAAACUCCGAAUACCGAUGAGUACAGCUUGGGAGACAGAGCACCGGGUGCUAACGUCCGGACUCAAGAGGGAAACAACCCAGACCGCCAGCUAAGGUCCCUAAAAUUGGCUAAGUGGGAAACGAAGUGGGAAGGCUAAAACAGUCAGGAUGUUGGCUUAGAAGCAGCCAUCAUUUAAAGAAAGCGUAAUAGCUCACUGAUCGAGUCGUCCUGCGCGGAAGAUGUAACGGGG
This 543-nucleotide ribosomal RNA is filed under the name uncultured bacterium. RNAcentral describes it as "bacterial LSU rRNA". It matches the Rfam family "Bacterial large subunit ribosomal RNA", at positions 635 to 1180 of the family's 2925-position model. The record is from RNAcentral.